RNAcentral lists this ribosomal RNA (497 nucleotides) under uncultured bacterium. Its description in RNAcentral is "partial 16S ribosomal RNA". It matches the Rfam family "Bacterial small subunit ribosomal RNA", at positions 28 to 507 of the family's 1533-position model. The record is from RNAcentral.
GAUGAACGUUGGCGGCGUGCCUAAUACAUGCAAGUCGAGCGAACAGAUAAGGAGCUUGCUCCUUUGACGUUAGCGGCGGACGGGUGAGUAACACGUGGGUAACCUACCUAUAAGACUGGGAUAACUUCGGGAAACCGGAGCUAAUACCGGAUAACAUUUGGAACCGCAUGGUUCUAAAGUGAAAGAUGGUUUUGCUAUCACUUAUAGAUGGACCCGCGCCGUAUUAGCUAGUUGGUAAGGUAACGGCUUACCAAGGCAACGAUACGUAGCCGACCUGAGAGGGUGAUCGGCCCCACUGGAACUGAGACACGGUCCAGACUCCUACGGGAGGCAGCAGUAGGGAAUCUUCCGCAAUGGGCGAAAGCCUGACGGAGCAACGCCGCGUGAGUGAUGAAGGGUUUUGGCUCGUAAAACUCUGUUAUUAGGGAAGAACAAACGUGUAAGUAACUGUGCACGUCUUGACGGUACCUAAUCAGAAAGCCACGGCUAACUACGUG